RNAcentral lists this ribosomal RNA (253 nucleotides) under uncultured bacterium. RNAcentral's name for it is "partial 16S ribosomal RNA". It matches the Rfam family "Bacterial small subunit ribosomal RNA", at positions 524 to 776 of the family's 1533-position model. The record is from RNAcentral.
GACGUAGGGUGCGAGCGUUGUCCGGAUUUAUUGGGCGUAAAGAGCUCGUAGGCGGCUCGUCGCGUCAGCUGUGAAAACCCGCAGCGUAACUGUGGGCUUGCAGCUGAUACGGGCGGGCUAGAGUUCGGUAGGGGAGACUGGAAUUCCUGGUGUAGCGGUGAAAUGCGCAGAUAUCAGGAGGAACACCGGUGGCGAAGGCGGGUCUCUGGGCCGAAACUGACGCUGAGGAGCGAAAGCGUGGGGAGCAAACAGG